RNAcentral lists this ribosomal RNA (497 nucleotides) under uncultured bacterium. Its description in RNAcentral is "partial 16S ribosomal RNA". It matches the Rfam family "Bacterial small subunit ribosomal RNA", at positions 28 to 507 of the family's 1533-position model. The record is from RNAcentral.
GAUGAACGCUGGCGGCGUGCCUAAUACAUGCAAGUCGAGCGAACAGAUGAGGAGCUUGCUCCUCUGACGUUAGCGGCGGACGGGUGAGUAACACGUGGAUAACCUACCUAUAAGACUGGGAUAACUUCGGGAAACCGGAGCUAAUACCGGAUAAUAUAUUGAACCGCAGGGUUCAAUAGUGAAAGACGGUUUUGCUGUCACUUAUAGAUGGAUCCGCGCCGCAUUAGCUAGUUGGUAAGGUAACGGCUUACCAAGGCAACGAUGCGUAGCCGACCUGAGAGGGUGAUCGGCCACACUGGAACGGAGACACGGUCCAGACUCCUGCGGGAGGCAGCAGUAGGGAAUCUUCCGCAAUGGGCGAAAGCCUGACGGAGCAACGCCGCGUGAGUGAUGAAGGUCUUCGGAUCGUAAAACUCUGUUAUUAGGGAAGAACAAAUGUGUAAGUAACUAUGCACGUCUUGACGGUACCUAAUCAGAAAGCCACGGCUAACUACGUG